CAGCAGAGUCGGCAGAUAGAUGACACAGAAAGCUGAGAGACUGGAGGGCAGAGUCUUGAAGAAUGUGGGAUUUCCUAAUCUUACAGUUCCCAACUUGGACCCAAGAUAAGACAGUUUCCUGGACCUUUUGUUGUUGAAGGCAGGGAAGCUAUUAUCAUCCUGUGGUGCCUAGUAUAGGCUGUCCUUUGACUUGGCCACACGUAUUCAAACAGAUGUUAAAGGCAAGGGAAACAAAAGAAAAAAUAAGCAAGUGGGACUACAUCAGACUAAAAAAAUUCUGCACAGCAAAGGAAACUGUCAACAAAAUGAAAGGACAA
This is a long non-coding RNA of Diceros bicornis minor, 317 nucleotides long. RefSeq lists it as uncharacterized. The transcript has 3 exons. Lineage: Eukaryota; Metazoa; Chordata; Mammalia; Perissodactyla; Rhinocerotidae. The record is from RefSeq and is a predicted model, not a curated record.